CCUACGGGUGGCUGCAGUAAGGAAUAUUGGACAAUGGCGGAGACGCUGAUCCAGCUAUCCCGCGUGCAGGAUGAAGGACCUAUGGUUUGUAAACUGCUUUAGACUGGGGCGAAAAAGUGGGAUUUAUCCUACAUUGACGGUACCAGUAAAAUAAGCACCGGCUAACUCCGUGCCAGCAGCCGCGGUAAUACGGAGGGUGCAAGAGUCAUCCGGAAUCACUGGGUAUAAAGGGUGCUUCGAAGUCAGGAUUGAAAGGCCACGGCUUAACCGUGGGAUUGCUUUUGAGACUGGCGAGCUUGGAUUAGGACGAGGUUGGCGGAAUGUGGCAAGUAGCGGUGAAAUGCAUAGAUAUGCCAUAGAAUACCGAUUGCGAAGGCAGCUGACUAGACCUAUAUUGACGCUGAGGCACGAAAGCGUGGGGAGCGAACAGGAUUAGAUACCCCAGUAGUC
RNAcentral lists this ribosomal RNA (450 nucleotides) under uncultured bacterium. Its description in RNAcentral is "partial 16S ribosomal RNA". It matches the Rfam family "Bacterial small subunit ribosomal RNA", at positions 338 to 795 of the family's 1533-position model. The record is from RNAcentral.